GCCUUCGUGGUGCAGUGGUCUGCAUGCUGGGCCUCUAUUUCAGCGGUCCGUGGUUCGAUUCCCGGAGAAGGCA
This 73-nucleotide transfer RNA is filed under the name Stegodyphus mimosarum. It matches the Rfam family "tRNA". Rfam says of the family: Transfer RNA (tRNA) molecules are approximately 80 nucleotides in length. The record is from Rfam by way of RNAcentral. Lineage: Eukaryota; Metazoa; Arthropoda; Arachnida; Araneae; Eresidae.